This 446-nucleotide ribosomal RNA is filed under the name uncultured bacterium. Its description in RNAcentral is "partial 16S ribosomal RNA". It matches the Rfam family "Bacterial small subunit ribosomal RNA", at positions 338 to 795 of the family's 1533-position model. The record is from RNAcentral.
CCUACGGGUGGCAGCAGUCGAGAAUCAUUCACAAUGGGGGAAACCCUGAUGGUGCGACGCCGCGUGGGGGAAUGAAGGUCUUCGGAUUGUAAACCCCUGUCAUGUGGGAGAAAAUUAAAAAGAUAGUACCACAAGAGGAAGAGACGGCUAACUCUGUGCCAGCAGCCGCGGUAAUACAGAGGUCUCAAGCGUUGUUCGGAAUCACUGGGCGUAAAGCGUGCGUAGGCUGUUUCGUAAGUCGUGUGUGAAAGGCGCGGGCUCAACCCGCGGACGGCACAUGAUACUGCGAGACUAGAGUAAGGGAGGGGGAACCGGAAUUCUCGGUGUAGCAGUGAAAUGCGUAGAUAUCGAGAGGAACACUCGUGGCGAAGGCGGGUUCCUGGACAUUAACUGACGCUGAGGCACGAAGGCCAGGGGAGCGAAAGGGAUUAGAUACCCGAGUAGUC